Molecule: transfer RNA, 82 nt
Filed under: Daphnia pulicaria
Lineage: Eukaryota; Metazoa; Arthropoda; Branchiopoda; Diplostraca; Daphniidae
Description: tRNA-Leu
Rfam family: tRNA
About the family: Transfer RNA (tRNA) molecules are approximately 80 nucleotides in length. Their secondary structure includes four short double-helical elements and three loops (D, anti-codon, and T loops). Further hydrogen bonds mediate the characteristic L-shaped molecular structure. tRNAs have two regions of fundamental functional importance: the anti-codon, which is responsible for specific mRNA codon recognition, and the 3' end, to which the tRNAs corresponding amino acid is attached (by aminoacyl-tRNA synthetases). tRNAs cope with the degeneracy of the genetic code in two manners: having more than one tRNA (with a specific anti-codon) for a particular amino acid; and 'wobble' base-pairing, i.e. permitting non-standard base-pairing at the 3rd anti-codon position.
Source: RNAcentral
GAUAGUGUGGCCGAGUGGUCUAUGGCGCUGGUUUUAGCCACCAGUCUCUUCGGAGGCAAGGGUUCGAAUCCCUUCACUGUCA